UGGGGAAUUUUGGACAAUGGGCGAAAGCCUGACGCAGCGACGCCGCGUGAGUGAUGAAGGCCUUCGGGUUGUAAAGCUCUGUGGGGAGAGAAGAAUAAGUCGUAGUGAAUAUCUACGAUGAUGACGGUAUCUCCUUAGCAAGCACCGGCUAACUCUGUGCCAGCAGCCGCGGUAAGACAGAGGGUGCAAACGUUGUUCGGAAUUACUGGGCGUAAAGCGUGUGUAGGCGGUGAGGUAAGUCAGGUGUGAAAUCCCACGGCUCAACCAUGGAAGUGCACUUGAUACUGCUUCGCUUGAGUACUGGAGAGGUUGGUGGAAUUCUUGGUGUAGAGGUGAAAUUCGUAGAUAUCAAGAGGAACACCGGUGGCGAAGGCGGCCAACUGGACAGAUACUGACGCUGAGACACGAAAGCGCGGGGAGCAAACA
This 426-nucleotide ribosomal RNA is filed under the name uncultured bacterium. RNAcentral's name for it is "bacterial SSU rRNA". It matches the Rfam family "Bacterial small subunit ribosomal RNA", at positions 355 to 774 of the family's 1533-position model. The record is from RNAcentral.